RNAcentral lists this ribosomal RNA (467 nucleotides) under uncultured bacterium. RNAcentral's name for it is "partial 16S ribosomal RNA". It matches the Rfam family "Bacterial small subunit ribosomal RNA", at positions 28 to 507 of the family's 1533-position model. The record is from RNAcentral.
GACGAACGCUGGCGGCGUGCUUACACAUGCAAGUCGAACGGAAAGGCCCUGCUUUUGUGGGGUGCUCGAGUGGCGAACGGGUGAGUAACACGUGAGUAACCUGCCCUUGACUUUGGGAUAACUUCAGGAAACUGGGGCUAAUACCGGAUAGGAGCUCCUGCUGCAUGGUGGGGGUUGGAAAGUUUCGGCGGUUGGGGAUGGACUCGCGGCUUAUCAGCUUGUUGGUGGGGUAGUGGCUUACCAAGGCUUUGACGGGUAGCCGGCCUGAGAGGGUGACCGGCCACAUUGGGACUGAGAUACGGCCCAGACUCCUACGGGAGGCAGCAGUGGGGAAUAUUGCACAAUGGGCGGAAGCCUGAUGCAGCAACGCCGCGUGCGGGAUGAAGGCCUUCGGGUUGUAAACCGCUUUCGCCUGUGACGAAGCGUGAGUGACGGUAAUGGGUAAAGAAGCACCGGCUAACUACGUG